GCAUUACAUGGAUGCCUCGACUCUAUACUCCGAUGAAGGACGUGGCCAGCUGCGAUAUGCCUCGGUAAGCCGCUAGGCAGGCGUUAUUAGCCGAGGAUUUCCGAAUGAGGAAACUCCUCCGCCGUCAUGGGCGGAGACCGGAGAGCUUGCUCUCCGGAGGUCACUCUGUGAACUGAAACAUCUCAGUAACAGAGGAAAAGAAAUUAACAAAGAUUCCCUAAGUAGUGGCGAGCGAAAGGGGAACAGGCCAAACCCCAUUGUUUUAUUGAUGGGGGGUUGUAGGGCCCCGAUAUCCGAUUGAUUCUGUAUAAAUGAAUGAGCCUGGAACGGACAGCCAAAGAGGGUGAGAGCCCCGUAAUUGAAAUACAGGAGCACGGUAGGGAGUCCCUGAGUAGGGUCGGACACGUGAAAUCCGGCCUGAAUCUGGGUGGACCACCAUCCAAGCCUAAAUAGGUAUAGAGAUCUAUAGCGAAUAGUACCGCGAGGGAACGGUGAAAAGCACCCCGGAAGGGGGAUGAAAUAGACCCUGAAAUGUAAUGCGUUCAAGGAGCUGGAGCCCUUUAUGGGUGACAGCGUGCCUUUUGCAUAAUGAGCCAAGGAGUUAGUUGUUAGUGGCUGGUUAAGGCAGAGUUAGCCGGAGCCAGAGCGAAAGCGAGUCCGAAUAGGGCGCAUAUAGUCGCUAGCACUAGACCCGAAACCGGGUGAGCUACCCAUGGGCAGGGUGAAGGGCGCCCAACGGCGUCUGGAGGCCCGAACCCACGCAUGUCACAAGAUGCGGGGAUGACCUGUGGGUAGGGGUGAAAAGCCUAUCGAACCCGGAGAUAGCUGGUUCUCUUCGAAAUGCCUUUAGGGGCAGCCUCGUUUUGCAAGAUGGGGGGUAGAGCUACUGUUUGGAUGCGGGGGUCUCCUCGACCUACCAAAUCCUGGCAAACUCCGAAUACCCAUCCUUAGAAAACGGGAGUGAGACGGUGACGGCAAAUCGCCAUCGUCGAGAGGGAAACAACCCAGAUCAUCUGCUAAGGUCCCUAAUGAUAGUUAAGUGUGAAAGGAGGUGUAGGUGCAUGGACAACCAGGAGGUUGGCUUAGAAGCAGCCAUCCUUUAAAGAAAGCGUAACAGCUCACUGGUCGAUUGCACUUAUGCGCCGAAAAUUUAACGGGGCAAAACUAUCUACCGAAGCAAUGAGUGUGCUUUUUAGCACGCAGUAGAAGAGCGUUCUGUUCAGCAGUGAAGCAGUACUGCGAGGUAUUGUGGAGCGGACAGAAGUGAGAAUCUUGGCAUGAGUAACUACUAGGCAGGUGAAAACCCUGCCCGCCGAAUCCCCAAGGGUUCCCACGCAACGUUAAUCGGCGUGGGGUUAGUCGGGCCUAAGGUGAGGCCGAAAGGCGUAACCGAUGGACAACAGGUUAAUAUUCCUGUACCUCAUGGAAAUCGAUCAAGGGUGCCGUUUGAUAGUUUGGCAGGCCUCUGCUUCCUCCUUCGGGAGGCUGGCAUGUCCGUCAGAAAGGACGAUGGUAACCUAGGAGCGGUAUGACGGAGCGGGAACACCAGAGCGUAUGUAUUGACUGUACGUGUAACACGUAAGGCGUUAAUUCCGGUAGGCAAAUCCGCCGGAAGAGCUAAGCGUGGAUGCCAAUUGUCCGCCUCAGGCGGAUGAGUCUGAAUGUUUCUGCUUCCAAGAAAACUGUCGCUUCGAGAGUUUCAUGAGACCGUACCGCAAACCAACACCGGUGGGGUGGUCGAGUAGACCAAGGCGAACGAGUAAUUCCGCGUUAAGGAACUCGGCAAAACAGCGUCCGUAACUUCGGGAUAAGGACUGGCGUUCUCUAUUACGGGGAGCGCCCGCAGCAAAAGAGCUCAGGCGACUGUUUACCAAAAACACAGGUCCCUGCUAAGUCGCAAGACAACGUAUAGGGGCUGAUGCCUGCCCAGUGUCAGAAGGUUACGUGAGGGGGUUUACGCCCUUGAUCUAAGCCCUGAUGAACGGCGGCCGUAACUAUAACGGUCCUAAGGUAGCGAAAUUCCUUGUCGGGUGGUUGGCAAUAACUUGCCCGAAUGACGAGUAAUCGUCACACCAAGGAAUGAGUUGUGUUGAUCAAAACAGUUUAUUAAUUUCUUUGCGCAGCUGAGUUUUAUAUAUUUUAUUGAUCGUAUACCACCAAUAGUGAAAACGUUGCUAUAUGCUGGAAUAUCCGGUGCCGUGAAGUCUUUGUACUUCAUGGCGAGAAUGACGCACUACGCGCAAGCGUGACAAUGUGACGUCUGCGGACAAUCAGCAGGAAACCUUACGUAUGUAAGGGCUCCUCAGAGACUCUACGCAACGCCCCCGCGAAGCCCGAUCUGGGCGAAGUGGGGUGAUGAUAUAGUCCGAUCCCUAUGGCGACAUAGGGUGCAGAGAAGUUCUGCAGUUACACUUCGAGAUGUGCUUUCAGCGCUCCUCAGUGUGACAACACGCGUGGAACGGGAACUCCAACCAAUAUAAUAAGUACAUCGCGAAGGGCGGCUUUGCCGGCCUGGAGCGAUACCUUAAAAGGGAAGGAGAGCCCGUGAGAGGAAACCGUAGGUUUCCUUUCACGAAUAGUGAAGUUCCGACCCGCACGAAUGGUAUAACGGUCUGAGCACUGUCUCAACGCGGAGCUCGGUGAAAUUGCAGUCCCGGUGCAAAUGCCGGGUAGACUACGGAAGGACGAAAAGACCCUAUGAAGCUUUACUAUAAGCUGACAUUGUAUCACUGGUUUCUUUGUGCAGAAUAGGUGGGAGGCUUUGAAGCGGGGGCGUUAGCCCCUGUGGAGCCAACUUUGAGAUACCACCCUUUGGUUCUGUUGAUACUCACCCCGUCUCUGAAACGGAGAGGGGGACAGUGUUUGCCGGGUAGUUUAACUGGGGCGGUUGCCUCCUAAAAUGUAACGGAGGCGUGCAAUGGUCCACUAGCGCCGGAUGGAAAUCGGCGUUGUCGUAUAAUCGCAUAAGUGGGCCUGACUGUGAGGCUUACAGGCCGAGCAGGGACGAAAGUCGGUGAUAGUGAUCCGGCACCUUUGACACUGAUUUAUUAGUGUCAUUCCACGUGGGUGGGGUGUCGCUCAUCGGAUAAAAGUUACUCUAGGGAUAACAGGCUGAUCGCUCCCAAGCGCCCACAGCGACGGAGCGGUUUGGCACCUCAAUCGGGGUGCUACAGAAGUAAUUCUGUACCAAAAAUUCGGCUUAUAACGGUGAAACCGUCACGAGCAAUUGUGGAAAUUUAUUUGCUCGUCGGCAAUACCGUGGGAAGUCCUCCGCCAACAGCGGAGUGACCCCGUAACGACUGACCCGAAAGGGGAGAGCCUUUCAUAGAGAAAGGCUAACACGCCGAUUCCUGCAACACAUUAAGUCAGAUUACGGUUGUAUACGACUAUACGACCUACGAUCGACUGCAGGAUAAAGAUAUAGUCUGCACCAUACGAAAAUAUGGAUAAAAGUACGAUGUCGGCUCAUCGCAUCCUGGGGCUGAAGAAGGUCCCAAGGGUUUGGCUGUUCGCCAAUUAAAGCGGUACGCGAGCUGGGUUCAGAACGUCGUGA
RNAcentral lists this ribosomal RNA (3553 nucleotides) under Candidatus Peregrinibacteria bacterium CG_4_9_14_3_um_filter_49_12. Its description in RNAcentral is "bacterial LSU rRNA". It matches the Rfam family "Bacterial large subunit ribosomal RNA", at positions 17 to 2624 of the family's 2925-position model. The record is from RNAcentral. Lineage: Bacteria; Candidatus Peregrinibacteriota.